RNAcentral lists this small nuclear RNA (194 nucleotides) under Scleroderma citrinum Foug A. RNAcentral describes it as "U2 spliceosomal RNA". It matches the Rfam family "U2 spliceosomal RNA". Rfam says of the family: U2 is a small nuclear RNA (snRNA) component of the spliceosome (involved in pre-mRNA splicing). The record is from Rfam by way of RNAcentral. Lineage: Eukaryota; Fungi; Basidiomycota; Agaricomycetes; Boletales; Sclerodermataceae.
UUACCACUCUGGCCUCUUGGCUAAGAUCAUGUGUAGUAUCUGUUCUUUACAGUCUAACCACUGUAAUGGGGGCAUUGCCCUCUUCACUGGUUAUUCAAUUUUUGACGCCCUUGGUCCCUGCGAGCUCUGUUAUGCAACUCCAGGGGACGCGAUGACGUUGCUAUUGCACUACUGGCUUCAGGUUGUCAGGGGAU